AGACGGAGGGCGCAAGCGUUGUUCGGAAUUACUGGGCGUAAAGCGCACGCAGGCGGUUUGCUAAGUCCUUUGUGAAAGCCCGGGGCUCAACCCCGGAAUUGCAUCGGAUACUGGCAGACUAGAGACUGGUAGAGGCUAGCGGAAUUCCUGGUGUAGCGGUGGAAUGCGUAGAUAUCAGGAAGAACACCUGUGGCGAAGGCGGCUAGCUGGGCCAGUUCUGACGCUCAUGUGCGAAAGCGUGGGGAGCAAACAGGAUUAGAUACCCUGGUAGUCCACGCCGUAAACGAUGGGCACUAGAUGCCGGGCAUAUAGACGUGUUCGGUGUCGCAGCUAACGCAUUAAGUGCCCCGCCUGGGGAGUACGGUCGCAAGGCUGAA
Molecule: ribosomal RNA, 377 nt
Filed under: uncultured bacterium
Lineage: Bacteria
Description: bacterial SSU rRNA
Rfam family: Bacterial small subunit ribosomal RNA
Source: RNAcentral